Molecule: long non-coding RNA, 365 nt
Organism: Scylla paramamosain (green mud crab)
Lineage: Eukaryota; Metazoa; Arthropoda; Malacostraca; Decapoda; Portunidae
Exons: 3
Source: RefSeq, a predicted model, not a curated record
CCCACCCCAGCCACUCCGCACUCCACUCACAGGCCACGACCACCACGCCGCUUCACCACCACCACACCACACCACGCGCUACCAUACACUGCCGCCCUAGCUCACUGGAUGGAAUUCCGCUCGCAACAAAGCACAACAAAGGAAGUUAGGAAGUGGCCACAGAAUAAUACAUACAUGACCUUCAGGCUGAGAUGGAGGGAAGGACAGAGGAAGAGCCUGGCUGAAGCAUGUGGCAAUGAAUUCAAACACCUGAGGAGAAUGUCAAGAAAGUAGCACUGCCUUACUUGGUGUGGUGGUGGAGUGAGUCUCAGAAAAUCUGUAGGAAGGGGCAGGAGCAUUGGGGGGUUCCAAUUUCUCUGUGCCCG